This is a long non-coding RNA of Raphanus sativus (radish), 2270 nucleotides long. RefSeq lists it as uncharacterized. Lineage: Eukaryota; Viridiplantae; Streptophyta; Magnoliopsida; Brassicales; Brassicaceae. The record is from RefSeq and is a predicted model, not a curated record. The transcript is spliced from 2 exons.
GUGGUUGAAUGAGUCUCAGAAAAUACCUUAAAAAAAGGAAACAUGUAAUUAGUUAGCCUAAAAGACCAAAGAGUACUUUCAAGCUCAGAUAUAUCUUCAUGUUCAGACAUUUCAUGUUAAGACAGUCAAGUUCUUUUCAAGCUCAGAGAUUUCAAGUUCAGACAUUUCAAGUUAGACAUUCAAGUUCUUUCACGCUCAGACAUAUCUUCAAGUUCAGACAUUCAAGCUCAGAGAUUUCAAGUUCAGACAUUUCAUGUUAAGACAGUUGAUUUCUUUUCAAGCUCAGACAUUUCAAUUUCAGACAUUCAAGUUCUUUCAAGCUCAGACAUAUCAUCUCUCAAGCAAGAAGACGAAAGAGUAAAUCGCUAGGAAGCUGAUUCCAAGACCACACUCUAGAUGUAUGCAGGAGGUACAUCGGAGCAUUUUACCAUGCAAAUUUCAACAAUAACCCCCAAAAAUAUUACACUCAGAUUUCAACAACGAGACGGAGAAACUAAUCGAACAAGAUCUAAGAGCAGAACAGAGAAAAAUAUAGAGAGGGUUUGAGAUUUUGCGGCAAACCUGCAAGCAGCUAGAAGGAACUUUUCAGGGAGGGUUUCUCGCACAGAGAGCAAAAGGGACUACCAGUAAGAGUUGCCAAGAGAAGAUGCAUGGAGGGAGGGGGGAGGUUUAUGUUAAAAAGCUAAAACGCCGGCGUUUAUUUGUGGCCCAUAAUAAUUGUAUAUUAGUACGAGGUCUAUAGCCCAAUAACAUCUUAGUUAGCCCGUUAAAUAUAUGGGUUCGACAAUGACCCAAGUCACAACUUUGCUUGAAUGUUUGAAGAGAAUCACCGAGAGCUGAGAAACCAGCAUAAGCUAAUCUUCUUCAUCGGGUAACAUAUUAGUUUGCAGUUACUUCAAUAUAUGCAUAGGAAUGUUGCCUAAUGAAUGCAAAUAAUGUUGCAAGUUUGGUAGAUGAAGUUAAAAUACAAGUUAAAGGAAUCACUUGGACUCGUUAAGCAAUGUGUUCAUGCUGCUGAACUAGUUGGCCUUUCAAAAAAAAAAGCAAGAGAGAGAGAGAGAGAGAGAGAAACAGUUUUCUCUCGAGCGUCUCUCCCACCAACACCUUCAAACCCUAAUUCUCAGAAAUCAAUUCUUGUUUGAGGGGAUCGUGGGCUUCUGUCGCCUCCAGUCUCCUCCCCCAUCUGUGUUUGCUCUUCUUAGCCACUAUCACCGACCCAUCAACCGCCAUUAAACCUUCUUUGUCGUGUACUCUGGAUCUCUGCUUUGGUGGAUCUAAUCGGAAGCUAGAGGCGUGUGUCUCUCUUCUCUGGAAUACAGACGAGGGUGUAAUGUGUGGCGUGAUACUCGGUGGCCUUGAUUCUCUUUCUCCUCUGAUUGUUGGCGUAAGAUCUGGGUCAGAUCUUAAUUCAAGUUUGGUGAUUUUUCGGGAGUGUAGCUACCUCUCUUCUCAUCGCCGCCUUGCCUUCCAACAGUUCAAGGGUCUUGCAGCUUCAAGGUUCAAUAGAGCCUCUCCUCUGGAAUUUGUUUUCUGAGAGCGGCGGAGCCGUGGUUCUCCGCUGAGAGCCUCUUCUCUUAGCCUCAAGUGUCAGCUUCCAUGGUAUUAUCUGUUGAUGCUCUGUUUCUCUCCAUUGUGUUUUGAUGGUUGAUGCUCAGGGUCCUUGAGGACAGACCCAAUGUGUCUCUAAAAGUCACGUUGGAAGAGACUUGCUUUUGAUGGAUUUCACCUGUUUUUGAGAAGUUGUAUGGCUUCUCCUGAUCUUCAACUCCGUCUACAAGCUCCGGUUUGUUCCUCUUUCGAGUGUGAGCUUCCCGAGAAGCUUCUGGUUUUGGUUUCAACAGAGCACCUCAGCCUGCACUGGAGUGGAAUGCUUGGCCCUCCGUCGUCGCGGCCGAGAGAAUCUGUGGAGUCUUCCUAAGCCUGCACCGGAGUGGUAGCUGUCCCUCCGUCGUCGCGGCAAAGAAACUCUUUGGAUUUCCUCUACGUAAACCAACUCUGUAUAGCCUUCUCCUCGUCACCUUCCUUGGUACUUGGAAGCGCUUGUAAGGAAUCUUUGCUGAUGUUUGUUGCUAAACUGUUAGGUCAAAGUCUUGUUCUCUUGAUCAAACUUGAUCUUAAUUAGAUGUUUAGGGCUUUUUAUUUUUUUGCGGCUCUUUUCAUCUGAAUGGUUUAGUUGCAGAUGUUGAUUGCAAAUCCUUGUAAUCAGACCUUCAUUAUCUUGUUAAUGAUAUUUACCCUUUAACAAAAAAAAAACUAGUUGGCCUUCACAA